RNAcentral lists this ribosomal RNA (253 nucleotides) under uncultured bacterium. Its description in RNAcentral is "partial 16S ribosomal RNA". It matches the Rfam family "Bacterial small subunit ribosomal RNA", at positions 524 to 776 of the family's 1533-position model. The record is from RNAcentral.
UACAGAGGGGGCAAGCGUUGUUCGGAAUUACUGGGCGUAAAGGGCGCGUAGGCGGCCUGUUAAGUCGAACGUGAAAUCCCCGGGCUCAACCCGGGAACUGCGUCCGAUACUGGCAGGCUUGAAUCCGGGAGAGGGAUGUGGAAUUCCAGGUGUCGCGGUGAAAUGCGUAGAUAUCUGGAGGAACACCGGUGGCGAAGGCGGCAUCCUGGACCGGUAUUGACGCUGAGGCGCGAAAGCCAGGGGAGCAAACGGG